CUGGGGACCAGCGGGGCCCUGGAGGGCAGGAAGGAGGGGUCGGGAAGGGAUGCGGAAGCUUCUAGAGGCCACAAACAUUCCGUCGGUUCUCUCUGGUGUACACAGGUAGGCAGGCCCGCACCUGCCAAGUGUGUGCUCUAUGCACUGCCGUCUGUUGCCUGCGACUUGGCUGAUGUAAAAGUGCCUAGCGUGGCCUGGCGGGGGCUCAAACACAGAGCAGGGUCUGCAGGCCCCGGGGGCUGCGGCACGAGCUCACAGAGUGGACUCCGGGCCUCCCCUCAGCCACUCUCUCAUGGGCGUGGGCUGGAACCUUAUUUUUUCACACCAAACACUCGCUUCACAUCUCCUGCGGCACUGACACCCCCGAGAGAUCGGCUCAGUCUCUCGGGUUUCCUUCAGUGCCGAGGAAAGCAGGCUCAGGUGAGGGAGCUGCCCGGAGCCCUCGGGGCGCCACCGCCCACGACAGCCCCCCUCAAUGCCGUCCCCAAGUGGCCUCCUCCUUCUGCACGGGUCGGGUUGGGGAGGAGAGGGACAGGCACCUUUGGGCUGGAGGCCAGGCCCUGCCGGGCACAGCCCCUGACCGUCAGCAGGCCCAGCUGGGGCAGAAGCUGCCUCCCGUCCUGGACGCUGGAGGGACCCUGUGGAUCAGGAAGGCGGCUCACGGCAUCCGGAGCUCAGAGGCCCUGCUGUCGGCCUCAUCCCGUGACGUCAGCAGCAGAGGAAGAGUGUCGACCACCGAAUGCCCAGGGUGGCUCCAUGCGGAAGGAGGCAGCGCUGCCGAGCGCAGGCCACCGACACCGACACCGGCCGUGGACACAGGCGGGAGGCUGGGCGGCGGCGAGUCUUGCGCCUGCGCAGACCUGGUCGGGCGCAGACGGCGACUCAGGCUCUGCCCAGUGCAGUCGCUGCGCCCCCAUUUUUCCCAUGCCGGCUGCACGUGGCGGCAGGCACCUCUGGCCCAGGGCAUUCUGCAAAGACACCCUGGGUGCUGCCUCCACCCAGCAGUCCGUGGUGACACACAGGUGCCCACCCAGCCCCCUCCCUCCAGCGUCACCUGCAGAGCCUGGCUUUUCCACCCUUCACACCCAGGGUGGGUGGCACAGCUCGUGUCUCGCCUCAGGUGGGCCUGCGGCCAUUCUAAAGGACACCGCGUCCUCCCAGAGAUAGCCCUGGCCAGCCACCGCCACCUCGCUCUCACCAGGCAGCCCUGGAGGGUGCCCGCCUGUCACUGAGCCUGCAGCCCAGGCCCGCUCCACCGUGGGGUGACCGGGCUUCCCGCACAGCCUGCCUGCGGCAUUGCCACUGCACCAGGCGGUGGCGCUGCUGCCUUGGGGCAUCUGAGGCCACUUCCCCCAGGAGCACCGAGCCCAGCCAGGGGACUUGGCCCUGGGAGCUCACCUGGCCCCAUCCCUUUCCUUCCACGUCUGGGAAGGACAGCGUGCAGAGGGUGCAGAGCGGGGGCGUCAGAGCCCGUGGGAGGCUCUGCAGCCCAGUCUGCCGCAGCCCAGAGAGGCCGUGUCCACCACCACAAAGCUUCCACAGUGCCUGUGCCCACUCAUCGCUGGCCAUGAGUCAUUUCCUCGGGUCCUCUGUGCCCCUCCUCAGUAGCACCUGCUGAUCUCCCGCUGGGGCCCCAAGAGCCAGGCGUCAGGUUCGCCGCCUUCCCAUCCUCGUGCUGCCAAGGGAACCAGCGCCUC
Molecule: long non-coding RNA, 1697 nt
Organism: Oryctolagus cuniculus (rabbit)
Lineage: Eukaryota; Metazoa; Chordata; Mammalia; Lagomorpha; Leporidae
Source: Ensembl